CAGAGCGUGACGGUGGACGCCGCGCAGCACAAGGUGACGGUGACGGGGACCGUGGACGCCAGCACGCUCGUCCAGAGGCUGCACAAGUCCGGCAAGAAGGGGGUGCCCUGGGAUUGCCACCCGCCCGCCAACAAGACCGAGGCCGCGCCUGCUCCGGCGCCGGCGCCGGAGGCCCUGCCGCCUCCGGCGGCGAAGCCUGCCGGUGACGCCGGCAAGGAUGCUGCUGCUGCGGCGGCGGCGGACAAGAAGCCGGAGGAGGCGGUGAAGGAGCCGAAGGCCGAGAGCCCCGAGAAGAAGAAGCCAGAGGAGGCGGUGAAGGAGCCGAAGGCCGAGAGCCCCGAGAAGAAGAAGCCGGAGCAGGAGGGCGCCGGCGCAGAGAAGAAGCCGGAAGCAGAGUCGAAGGCGGAGAAGAAAGUGGAGGCGAAGAAGGAGGGCGGUGAUGACGAGGCAGCUGAGCCCAAGGCCAAGGGCGCAGAGCCCGCAAAGGAAGAAGCGAAGGAGGCCGUCGCCGCCGCUACCAAGGAUGAGGACGAGGCGAAGAAGGUGAAGGACGAAAAGCCCAAGGACGCCGGCAAGGCAGAGCCCGCCGCCGUGACGGAGAGGUCCCUGUCCUCGCCGCCACCGCCGGCGCCCAAGCACGCGUACUACGAGGAGGAGUACCGCCGCCCCUACUACCCGACGCCGCAGCCGGUGCUGAGCUACCACGCGGCACAGCCGAGCGCGAGCGUGUCCUACUUCGCGCCGCAGCCGCACGCGGCGGCGUACUCCAUGCAGCAGCCGCAGCCGCAGGCGGCGUACUCGACGCACCAGCCGCCGCAGCAGCAAAUGCGGCAGUGGUCGCCUUCGUACCUGUACCUUCCGUACCCGCACGCGGCGCCGGAGCCGUACCACCACCAGGACUACUAUAGCCCGCCGGGGAUGCACGCGUCGCCACCGCCGAUGCAGGACUCGUACCGCAUCUUCGACGACGAGAACCCCAACUCCUGCAGCGUCAUGUGAGAGUUGACCGGCGCGCCCGCCCCGGCCGCCGCCGGCCGCCGUGCCGUGGGCAAGUAGUUGGGGAGGCGGCACCGCAACCGCAAUAGAGACCUCUCUGUGGUUGUAGGUAGAGUAGCCUGUUACUCUCUUCCACUAAGAGGUCAAACCUCUCUCCAUGACAGAGCCUCUCCUCUUUUUCCAUUUUCUUUAUUAUCCUUUUACUGUUCUAAUCAAGUAAUUAUAGAGCAUGUAAAUUGUAAUGAGAUACGCCCUUUACUUGUAGUUAAUUCCACUAC
Molecule: long non-coding RNA, 1274 nt
Filed under: Setaria italica (foxtail millet)
Lineage: Eukaryota; Viridiplantae; Streptophyta; Magnoliopsida; Poales; Poaceae
Description: long non-coding RNA (SITA_LNC007198)
Source: RNAcentral